Chionomys nivalis (European snow vole) is the source of this 1298-nucleotide non-coding RNA. The record is from the annotation of a RefSeq genome assembly. Lineage: Eukaryota; Metazoa; Chordata; Mammalia; Rodentia; Cricetidae.
AUGAAGACAUAUGUUCCUACUUUAUUCAUGCUCUCGUGGCUGCAGCUGAAUGGAAUGAGCCAAGGUGAGCAGGUGGAGCAGCGUCCUUCCACCCUGAGAGUCCAGGAGGGAGCCAGAGCUGUCAUCAACUGCACAUAUGUAGACAGUGCCUCGUCCUAUUUCCCUUGGUAUAAGCAAGAACCUGGGAAGCAUCCUAAGCUCAUUAUUGACAUUCGUUCAACUGUGGAAAAAAAGCAGGACCAAAGACUAAUCAUUUCACAUGAUAAGAAAGCCAAACACAUUUCCCUGCACAUCACAGACAGCCAGCUUGGAGACUCUGCCAUGUACUUCUGUGCUGCAACUGGCCCUGGGAGGAACCAGCUCACUCUUGGGAAAGGCACCAAACUGUCACUCACACCAAAUAUCCAGGACCCAAAACCAGCUGUGUACCAGCUAAGAGAUGCUCAGGCCAAGAACAGCACCAUCUGCCUGUUCACCGACUUCAGUUCCCAAGUCAAGUCAGAGGACACGCCACCUGAUGUGUUUGUCUCCAACAACACCGUGCUGGACAUGCGGUCUAUGGAUUCCAAGAGCAAUGGGGCCAUUGCCUGGAGUGACCACAGUAGUUUAAACUGUAAAGACGCCUUCAGACAGAACGCCUCCUUCCCCAGCUCAGAUGUUCCCUGUGAUGCCAGGUUGAUAGAGAAGAGCUUUGAAACAGAUAUGAACCUCAACUUUCAAAACAUGUCAGUGAUGGGACUCCGAAUCCUGCUCCUGAAAGUGGCCGGAUUUAACCUGCUCAUGACGCUGCGGCUGUGGUCCAGUUGAGGUUUCCAGACUGAAGGAGGCUGAACUCCCAAGCUCCUUCCUCUUCAUCACCCCUCCUUGUCCUCUUCAAGCGAAAAGGAGCCUGUCCACCUCCUAAAGAAGGCUCUCGGGUCUGAGCAGCUCACAACCCCAUCAACUGGGUCUCCUGAAUCUGUGAUAGAGACCGCUGAAGAGCCGCUGCUACCCCACUUCCUCACUGCUGCCGGCCACUCAAGACAGGCAGGGGCUGCUGCUUCUCCUGGAUGUGAAAACCCUUCACACACACCCCUGCUCUCCCCCAUCCCCACCCCUGCAACUGCAGCUCCUUGUGAAUGUUGUAAAGAGCAUGUUUUUGUUUUUAGUUUUUUAAAGCAGACAUAAAGAAAUACACAUUACUCUUUCCUCAAGGUGUAGAAAACUUAACUCCUUGUCUAGACCCUCCCUGCUCCUGUGUGUGUCUGAACUGUACUGUACAUCGUUCUGCUGUGCAUGGCUUCAUUAAAGAUGACUCA